AUACGGAGGAUGCGAGCGUUAUCCGGAUUUAUUGGGUUUAAAGGGAGCGUAGGCGGGAGCUUUAGUCAGCGGUUAAAUGGUGCGGCUCAACCGUGCCCUGCCGUUGAAACUGGGUUUCUUGAGAGUGCAAGAGGCGGAUGGAAUUCAUGGUGUAGCGGUGAAAUGCUUAGAUAUCAUGAAGAACUCCGAUUGCGAAGGCAGUCCGCUGGGGCACGUCUGACGCUGAUGCUCGAAGGUGCGGGAAUCAAACAGGAUUAGAUACCCUGGUAGUCCGCACGGUAAACGAUGAUUACCCGCUGUCGGCGGUAGACAGUCGGCGGCCAAGCGAAAGCGAUAAGUAAUCCACCUGGGGAGUACGCCGGCAACGGUGAAACUCAAAGGAAUUGACGGGG
This 392-nucleotide ribosomal RNA is filed under the name uncultured bacterium. RNAcentral's name for it is "partial 16S ribosomal RNA". It matches the Rfam family "Bacterial small subunit ribosomal RNA", at positions 523 to 918 of the family's 1533-position model. The record is from RNAcentral.